UAGCGGCGGACGGGUGAGUAACACGUGGAUAACCUACCUAUAAACUGGGAUAACUUCGGAAACCGGACUAAUACCGGAUAUUUUGAACCGCAUGUCAAAGUGAAAGACGGCUGCUGUCACUAUAAUGGAUCCGCGCUGCAUAGCUAGUUGGUAAGGUAACGGCUUACCAAGGCAACGAUGCAUAGCCGACCUGAGAGGGUGAUCGGCCACACUGGAACUGAGACACGGUCCAGACUCCUACGGGAGGCAGCAGUAGGGAAUCUUCCGCAAUGGGCGAAAGCCUGACGGAGCAACGCCGCGUGAGUGAUGAAGGUCUUCGGAUCGUAAAACUCUGUUAUUAGGGAAGAACAUAUGUGUAAGUAACUGUGCACAUCUUGACGGUACCUAAUCAGAAAGCCACGGCUAACUACGUGCCAGCAGCCGCGGUAAUACGUAGGUGGCAAGCGUUAUCCGGAAUUAUUGGGCGUAAAGCGCGCGUAGGCGGUUUUUUAAGUCUGAUGUGAAAGCCCACGGCUCAACCGUGGAGGGUCAUUGGAAACUGGAAAACUUGAGUGCAGAAGAGGAAAGUGGAAUUCCAUGUGUAGCGGUGAAAUGCGCAGAGAUAUGGAGGAACACCAGCGGCGAAGGCGACUUUCUGGUCUGUAACUGACGCUGAU
RNAcentral lists this ribosomal RNA (656 nucleotides) under uncultured Staphylococcus sp. Its description in RNAcentral is "bacterial SSU rRNA". It matches the Rfam family "Bacterial small subunit ribosomal RNA", at positions 93 to 750 of the family's 1533-position model. Lineage: Bacteria; Bacillati; Bacillota; Bacilli; Caryophanales; Staphylococcaceae. The record is from RNAcentral.